Molecule: ribosomal RNA, 484 nt
Filed under: uncultured bacterium
Lineage: Bacteria
Description: partial 16S ribosomal RNA
Rfam family: Bacterial small subunit ribosomal RNA
Source: RNAcentral
AUUGAACGCUGGCGGCAGGCCUAACACAUGCCAGUCGAGCGGAUGAAGGGAGCUUGCUCCUGGAUUCAGCGGCGGACGGGUGAGUAAUGCCUAGGAAUCUGCCUGGUAGUGGGGGAUAACGUCCGGAAACGGGCGCUAAUACCGCAUACGUCCUGAGGGAGAAAGUGGGGGAUCUUCGGACCUCACGCUAUCAGAUAAGCCUAGGUCGGAUUAGCUAGUUGGUGGGGUAAAGGCCUACCAAGGCGACGAUCCGUAACUGGUCUGAGAGGAUGAUCAGUCACACUGGAACUGAGACAAGGUCCAGAAUCCUACGGGAGGCAGCAGUGGGGAAUAUUGGACAAUGGGCGAAAGCCUGAUCCAGCCAUGCCGCGUGUGUGAAGAAGGUCUUCGGAUUGUAAAGCACUUUAAGUUGGGAGGAAGGGCAGUAAGUUAAUACCUUGCUGUUUUGACGUUACCAACAGAAUAAGCACCGGCUAACUUCGUG